AAUUAUGUGCCUGAUUAAAGGGUUAAUUUGAUAGAUUAAAUAAUGAUUAAUUUUUAUUUCGUUA
Molecule: transfer RNA, 64 nt
Filed under: Pardosa pusiola
Lineage: Eukaryota; Metazoa; Arthropoda; Arachnida; Araneae; Lycosidae
Description: tRNA-Ile
Source: RNAcentral